This 448-nucleotide ribosomal RNA is filed under the name uncultured bacterium. RNAcentral describes it as "bacterial SSU rRNA". It matches the Rfam family "Bacterial small subunit ribosomal RNA", at positions 330 to 792 of the family's 1533-position model. The record is from RNAcentral.
CCCAGACUCCUACGGGAGGCAGCAGUGGGGAAUAUUGGACAAUGGGGGGAACCCUGAUCCGGCGACGCCGCGUGAGUGAAGAAGUAUUUCGGUAUGUAAAGCUCUAUCAGCAGGGAAGAAAGAAAUGACGGUACCUGACUAAGAAGCCCCGGCUAACUACGUGCCAGCAGCCGCGGUAAUACGUAGGGGGCAAGCGUUAUCCGGAUUUACUGGGUGUAAAGGGGGCGCAGACGGCAGCGCAAGCCAGGAGUGAAAGCCCGGGGCCCAACCCCGGGACUGCUCUUGGAACUGCGCGGCUGGAGUGCAGGAGGGGCAGGCGGAAUUCCUGGUGUAGCGGUGAAAUGCGUAGAUAUCAGGAGGAACACCGGUGGCGAAGGCGGCCUGCUGGACUGCGACUGACGUUGAGGCUCGAAAGCGUGGGGAGCGGACAGGAUUAGAUACCCUCGUA